AAUGUAUUUGAGUUUGGUCGAAAUUAAAAAUCAUGCUCGUACCUGACCGGUUGUCUAGAAAUGGAAAGCAUCCUAAACGUUUCAUUGAAUUGUAAAAUCUAUUAAAGAAG
This is a long non-coding RNA of Rhagoletis zephyria (snowberry fruit fly), 110 nucleotides long. RefSeq lists it as uncharacterized. NCBI's taxonomy places the organism in Eukaryota, Metazoa, Arthropoda, Insecta, Diptera, Tephritidae. The record is from RefSeq and is a predicted model, not a curated record.